GUUGAGGUCUAUCCCUAUGGGGCUUUUCCUGUAGACUCACAUUGUUGGAAAUGCCUCACAGAGUAACUGUGUGGUUUUGCUUCACUCACAGAACUAUUUGUUAGAUCUUUGGAAAGAAUUACAAGAUCUGC
This is a small nucleolar RNA of Balaenoptera musculus (blue whale), 131 nucleotides long. NCBI's taxonomy places the organism in Eukaryota, Metazoa, Chordata, Mammalia, Artiodactyla, Balaenopteridae. The record is from Ensembl.